Molecule: unclassified non-coding RNA, 938 nt
Filed under: Hevea brasiliensis (rubber tree)
Lineage: Eukaryota; Viridiplantae; Streptophyta; Magnoliopsida; Malpighiales; Euphorbiaceae
Source: RNAcentral
AAACCAUGUACUUCUUGGCCGAAGUAAGUUUCCAACUCCUAACUUUCAACUUUGAAGGAUGGAUGUGCAAGUCUCUUCAAAGGAAUUUAGUUCUUCUGCAACUUGUAUAUCAUAAUAACAUGUAGCUUACAUAAAGUGCUAGAUGAUGGUUUGGUGAAAUAGCAUCAAGGGGCUUGGUGGUGAGCUUUUUGAGUUUAGCUUGAAAUCCUGGACUAAUGAGCUGUUCACCUAAUGUAAAAGCCUCUUACCAUCAUUGGGGUUAUUAUUAUUGACCAUAUAAUCCCGUUUCUGACUACCCUUCAUGUUUAUUGAACUGGUAUGAUACAGAUGUUUAUAGGAUAGGUUGGACCUUUUGUAUGAUCUCAGCUUUUGCAAUGGGAUGAGUGAAAUGGAUGCUGUCCUUAGGGCCCCACUAUUGCCGGUUAGGUUCUUGACAGAUUUAUAAAGUCCUCAAACUCAGACAGACUGACAGAUUCGUGAAAUCUUGCUGCAUUUCCAAAAAGUGAUACUGUCAAAUUUAGAGACUCAAAAGCUUUAAUUACCAGUUCUCAUGGUCAAAACAAGAAAAUAAAUUUAGCAACAGGAGUUUUACUCAUUCAAAGAAUAAAUCAAGCCAAGUCCUUAUCCCUCUUUUAUGGAUAGAAAGUUCGCCAUCUUGAUACAUUGAGAAUACACCAGGUAGUACUUUGAUCCUUAAAUGUUUUGUAUUCCUAAUCCUUCUUAAAUGUAUGGAGUUUUCAUUAUUAAAGGAGAAAAUGUGGCAGCUUCUAUGAAAUCAGCACAGAAGGGAGAUAGCAUUAGGUAUAAAGUCAGAAUUUUGCGAAUAGUAGGAUGCCUCAUUAUCCCUUCAUACUCUACACUGCAUAUUUGGACACUUGGAACACGAUUGUAAAUGUCUUGUUUACCUCUUGCAGGCAACACAUCCCUUCAUUGCAGAA